RNAcentral lists this ribosomal RNA (484 nucleotides) under uncultured bacterium. RNAcentral's name for it is "partial 16S ribosomal RNA". It matches the Rfam family "Bacterial small subunit ribosomal RNA", at positions 30 to 507 of the family's 1533-position model. The record is from RNAcentral.
AUUGAACGCUGGCGGCAGGCCUAACACAUGCAAGUCGAGCGGAUGAAGGGAGCUUGCUCCUGGAUUCAGCGGCGGACGGGUGAGUAAUGCCUAGGAAUCUGCCUGGUAGUGGGGGCUAACGUCCGGAAACGGGCGCUAAUACCGCAUACGUCCUGAGGGAGAAAGUGGGGGAUCUUCGGACCUUACGCUAUCAGAUGAGCCUAGGUCGGAUUAGCUAGUUGGUGGGGUAAAGGCCUACCAAGGCGACGAUCCGUAACUGGUCUGAGAGGAUGAUCAGUCACACUGGAACUGAGACACGGUCCAGACUCCUACGGGAGGCAGCAGUGGGGAAUAUUGGACAAUGGGCGAAAGCCUGAUCCAGCCAUGCCGCGUGUGUGAAGAAGGUCUUCGGAUUGUAAAGCACUUUAAGUUGGGAGGAAGGGCAGUAAGUUAAUACCUUGCUGUUUUGACGUUACCAACAGAAUAAGCACCGGCUAACUUCGUG